UAGAUAUCGGGAGGAACACCAGUGGCGAAGGCGGCCUACUGGGCACUAACUGACGCUGAGGCUCGAAAGCAUGGGUAGCAAACAGGAUUAGAUACCCUGGUAGUCCAUGCCGUAAACGAUGAUUACUAGGUGUGGGAGGAUUGACCCCUUCCGUGCCGCAGCUAACACAAUAAGUAAUCCACCUGGGGAGUACGACCGCAAGGUUGAAACUCAAAGGAAUUGACGGGGGCCCGCACAAGCAGUGGAGUAUGUGGUUUAAUUCGAAGCAACGCGAAAAACCUUACCAGGUCUUGACAUCCCGUGCAUAGCUAAGAGAUUAGUGAAGUCCUUCGGGACACGGAGACAGGUGGUGCAUGGUUGUCGUCAGCUCGUGUCGUGAGAUGUUGGGUUAAGUCCCGCAACGAGCGCAACCCUUAUCUUUAGUUACUACGCAAGAGGACUCUAGAGAGACUGCCGUUGACAAAACGGAGGAAGGUGGGGAUGACGUCAAAUCAUCAUGCCCUUUAUGACCUGGGCCACACACGUACUACAAUGGCAAUUAACAAAGAGAAGCGAAACCGCGAGGUGGAGCGAACCUCAUAAAAAUUGUCUCAGUUCGGAUCGCAGGCUGCAACCCGCCUGCGUGAAGCCGGAAUUGCUAGUAAUCGCGGAUCAGCAUGCCGCGGUGAAUACGUUCCCGGGCCUUGUACACACCGCCCGUCACACCAUGAGAGCCGGGGGGCCCGAAGUCNNNAGUCUAACCGCAAGGAGGACGCCGCCGAAGGUAAAACUGGUGAUUGGGGUGAAGUCGUAACAAGGUAACCGUA
Molecule: ribosomal RNA, 806 nt
Filed under: uncultured bacterium
Lineage: Bacteria
Description: bacterial SSU rRNA
Rfam family: Bacterial small subunit ribosomal RNA
Source: RNAcentral